GGGUGGUUAGCUCAGCUGGUAGAGCAUCUCGUUUACACCGAGGGGGUCAAAGGUUCGAGUCCUUUACUACCCACCA
This 76-nucleotide transfer RNA is filed under the name Alphaproteobacteria bacterium. Its description in RNAcentral is "tRNA-Val". It matches the Rfam family "tRNA". Rfam says of the family: Transfer RNA (tRNA) molecules are approximately 80 nucleotides in length. Lineage: Bacteria; Pseudomonadati; Pseudomonadota; Alphaproteobacteria. RNAcentral also lists the same sequence under 9 other names. The record is from RNAcentral.